Molecule: ribosomal RNA, 253 nt
Filed under: uncultured bacterium
Lineage: Bacteria
Description: partial 16S ribosomal RNA
Rfam family: Bacterial small subunit ribosomal RNA
Source: RNAcentral
UACGGAGGGUGCAAGCGUCGUUCGGAUUUAUUGGGCGUAAAGCGCGUGUAGGCGGUUUCUUAAGUCGAAUGUGAAAGCCCCGGGCUCAACCCGGGAAGUGCAUUGGAUACUGGGAGACUUGAAUACGGGAGAGGGUAGUGGAAUUCCUAGUGUAGGAGUGAAAUCCGUAGAUAUUAGGAGGAACACCGGUGGCGAAGGCGGCUACCUGGACCGAUAUUGACGCUGAGACGCGAAAGCGUGGGGAGCAAAAGGG